CCUGUCUUGAGCUAGACGGAGGGCCCAUGGAAAGAACGGAAGUGGGCAGGCACAAGUCUGAUAAGCAACUGACGAGGGGCAGAAUUGUCGUGCUUUGCACCAGAACAGCGGGGCAUUCUACUGUGCAGAUUGCCCUGAAGGAGAAUGGAUCCCCUCGUGAUGGCCACUGCAGCUGCCAGUUUGCCAGGUUUGUCUCGGCCACUGCCUUCUUUUGAUAACUGUUAGUAAGAGCUGGCAGAAGUCGAGCAAAAUACACAUGGGAGGAAACCCCACACAGACUUUUCUUGCAACACACUUCGCCCGGUGCCUGAAGAAGAGCUAAGUUUUGGUUGGCCAAGAGAAACCCUCGUUAAACCUCUGCCUCCCGCUACCAAAAGCUCGCAAAUAGAUGUGGACGUUUUACUUCCAGAGAAAUUGCCUGACUCACCCCCUGCCUUCAUCUCGCCAGGGAGCGAAGUGAAUGUUCGUUCAGUCCCUGGAGGUAGAUGGCUGGGAGAUUCCCGAAGGCCUCCAUGAGAACGGAUUGGUCGGUGGCAUGCACCCCCAAACAACGGGGAAGGUGCUCAAAACCAGCCGACCCCAGCCUCCUCUGGAGCUGCCCCCACAGACAGGUUCGCUGGGCACUCAGGGACUGGGACAGCUGCCUCGGAUCAUUAGGGGGGCAUUGAAACAGACAGGCAAGAGGACCACCCACCCAUUGGCUCUCCCCUCCCACCUUCUACCCAUUAAAAAAAGAAAAGUAAUCCGCCCCCAGUUUGCCCCAACCAAAUUGACUCUCACUGCCCCCCCGCCCGCCCCCAACCCCAGGAGCGGAUGGUUCUGGUCAUCUCCAAAGAGAAGCCCAGCCGUCCUGCCGUCCUGCUGGGCUCUGAGGCUGGAGACGGGACCCCUUUCCGGGAGGCUGCGGCUGCUGCUGCUGCUACCGCCCAGUCCGCGCCCUUCCUGGCUAGCCCCGUUCCCCGGACAGCCAGCCUGCAGCUCCCUCCACGAGUCCUCCCGCUCUGCCCCGGUCCGGGCCCCGGCCCCGGCCCGGCCCCCGCCCGCCGCCCCAGCGCCUGCCCCGCACCGCACGGAACGCACUGCUCGCCGCCUCCUCCGGCGGGCUCCCCGGGCACUCACCUCCUGGGAUCGGGCUUCCGUCGCUCCUCCAGCUUGGCGGCGAAGUCGGGGGCUGCCGGGGCAGCCGCUGCUCGUGGUUCCGGGGUGUACGGGGGGGCAGAGCCGGGAGCCCCCCGGCGUGGGCGCCGCGCGGUGUGGCCGGAGGGAGCUUCGGAGGGAGCUGCGGGAAGUUUUCAACCUGCGGGGGCGGUGCUCGGUGCUACUCCACUAGCCUCCCGCGGGCAGCCACGCAGUGCAGAGCCCGGCGAGCCCAGGCAGAGGGCGGGCGGGAGGCCACAACUUCUGGGAGAAGAGGUGGUGCCUGGCCAGGGGCACGGCCUGGGGCGCGCGUGGCUUGGCGUGGAGUGUCGUGGAAAGCAGAGGCUGCCGCUGCUGCCGCUGCUGCUGCUACUGCUGCCGCCACCGCCGCUGCUGCCGCUACCGCCGCCGCCACCGCCGCUGCCGCCGCCUUUGGGGAGUGCAAGGCUGCGAUCCAUAUUUAAGGCAGUGAGUAGCCUCGGCUGUCCUCCGACCGGACUCGGCCCGGCCCUCCCCUCUGCUCCCCACCCCACCCCACUCCCCCAACACCCCACCCCUCUCUCCUAUUGCUGCUCUCCGGGCGUCACUAGAGCUCAAGGCUUCCAGGGCACUGGGGGAGGGGCCUUGCCGGCCGCCGGAGGCUGUGGCUCACCUCGCCUGCAAGCUUUGUAA
This 1809-nucleotide long non-coding RNA is filed under the name Phascolarctos cinereus (koala). Its description in RNAcentral is "lncRNA (ENSPCIG00000030919.1)". The record is from RNAcentral. Lineage: Eukaryota; Metazoa; Chordata; Mammalia; Diprotodontia; Phascolarctidae.